GACGAACGCUGGCGGCGUGCUUAACACGUGCAAGUCGAACGGAAAGUCCCUGCUUGCAGGGUACUCGAUUGGCGAACGGGUGAAUAACACGUUGAGGAUCGGCCCUACACUGCGGGAUAAGCCUGGGAAACUGGUUCGAAUACCGGGGAGGAGCCAUUUUGAGUGUGGUGGGUGGAAAGUUUUUUCGGUGUAGGCUGAGCUCGCGGCCUAUCAGCGUGUUGGUGGGGUAAUGGCCUACCAAGGCGGCGACGGGUAGCCGGCCUGAGAGGGUGGACGGACACAUUGGGAUUGAGACACGGCCACGACUCCUACGGGAGGCAGCAGCGGGGAAUAUUGCACAAUGGGAGUAAGCGUGAGGCAGAGACGGCGAGUGGGCGAUGAUGGCCUUGGGGUUGUAAACUCCUUUCGCUAUCGCCGAAGCUUUUUGUGACGGUACCUAGAUAAGAAGCACCGGCUAACUACGUG
This 465-nucleotide ribosomal RNA is filed under the name uncultured bacterium. Its description in RNAcentral is "partial 16S ribosomal RNA". It matches the Rfam family "Bacterial small subunit ribosomal RNA", at positions 28 to 507 of the family's 1533-position model. The record is from RNAcentral.